UUGAUAGCUCAGUUGGUAGAGCGUGAGACUCCAGAGUCGUGGGUUUGACCCCCACAUUGGCAAAA
Non-coding RNA from Podarcis lilfordi (Lilford's wall lizard), 65 nucleotides. The record is from the annotation of a GenBank genome assembly. NCBI's taxonomy places the organism in Eukaryota, Metazoa, Chordata, Lepidosauria, Squamata, Lacertidae.